CUUGUCAAACCUGGUGACUCUAGAGCUGAGGGAGAAUCUACUGAAAUCUUUGCCCUCCUCUCUUUCCUUCCUGGUUAAACUGGAACAGCUGGAUCUGGGAAGCAAUGUACUGGAAGUUUUGCCUGACACACUUGGGGCACUGCCCAAUCUUCGUG
Long non-coding RNA from Sinocyclocheilus anshuiensis, 155 nucleotides. RefSeq lists it as uncharacterized. The record is from RefSeq and is a predicted model, not a curated record. The transcript has 3 exons. NCBI's taxonomy places the organism in Eukaryota, Metazoa, Chordata, Actinopteri, Cypriniformes, Cyprinidae.